CCCUUAGAUGUUCUGGGCCGCGCGCGUGCUACACUGAGUGGAUCAGCGGGUCAGGUUGCGCGAAAGUGUUUCCUAAUCUUUAAAUCCGCUCGUGAUGGGGAUUGACGGUUGCAAUUUUCCGUCAUGAACGAGGAAUACCUUGUAAGCGCGGGUCAUCAUCCCGCGCUGAAUACGUCCCUGCCCUUUGUACACACCGCCCGUCGCUCCUACCGAUUGAGUGGUCCGGUGAGGCUUUGGGAUCUGAGCGGAAAGAGCGUUUCGCUGUUUCUGCCCGGAAAACUCAGUCGAACCUUAUCAUUUAGAGGAAGGAGAAGUCGUAACA
This 322-nucleotide ribosomal RNA is filed under the name uncultured eukaryote. RNAcentral describes it as "partial 18S ribosomal RNA". It matches the Rfam family "Eukaryotic small subunit ribosomal RNA", at positions 1470 to 1796 of the family's 1831-position model. The record is from RNAcentral.